Molecule: ribosomal RNA, 269 nt
Filed under: uncultured Lactobacillus sp.
Lineage: Bacteria; Bacillati; Bacillota; Bacilli; Lactobacillales; Lactobacillaceae
Description: partial 16S ribosomal RNA
Rfam family: Bacterial small subunit ribosomal RNA
Source: RNAcentral
UUGAUAACAUUUGAGUGAGUGGCGGACGGGUGAGUAACACGUGGGUAACCUGCCUCAAGGCUGGGGAUAACAUUUGGAAACAGAUGCUAAUACCGCAUAACAACUUGGACCGCAUGGUCCGAGCUUGAAAGAUGGCUUCGGCUAUCACUUUUGGAUGGUCCCGCGGCGUAUUAGCUAGAUGGUGGGGUAACGGCUCACCAUGGCAAUGAUACGUAGCCGACCUGAGAGGGUAAUCGGCCACAUUGGGACUGAGACACGGCCCAAACUCC